RNAcentral lists this ribosomal RNA (253 nucleotides) under uncultured bacterium. RNAcentral's name for it is "partial 16S ribosomal RNA". It matches the Rfam family "Bacterial small subunit ribosomal RNA", at positions 524 to 776 of the family's 1533-position model. The record is from RNAcentral.
UACGAAGGGGGCUAGCGUUGUUCGGAAUUACUGGGCGUAAAGGGCGCGUAGGCGGGUAUUCAAGUCUAUGGUGAAAUCCGGCAGCUCAACUGUCGAAUUGCCGUGGAUACUGGGUAUCUCGAGGGAGGUAGGGGCGUGCGGAACUAAUGGUGGAGCGGUGAAAUGCGUUGAUAUCAUUAGGAACUCCGGUGGCGAAGGCGGCACGCUGGACCUCUUCUGACGCUGAGGCGCGAAAGCUAGGGUAGCAAACGGG